CCGCCUUCCGGAUGGAUGAAAGCAGAAGCAGUGGCUGGAGCUAGAGCAGCUAUUUAGGACUAUGAGAUGGAAGAAAUGUGGUGACAAUAGCAGAACAAAAAUAUAGAAAUCUUGGGUACUUGAUGACCACGGAGCCGCCAUACAAACUCUGGACUAUAAUUUCCAGAGACUGUUUAUAGAAUGAAGAUACUGUCAUUACCUCUGCAAAGAAUGCAUCCUAGCACAGAUCAAAGAUCUUCCAAGUCCAGCCACACCAUUUUACAGUUCUGAACCUCGACUUAGGAAAGCAGUGGAUCUUUAUACAUUUGACACAUCCCUUCCCUCUAGGAUCUCUGUGGCUAUUGAAAAUGGACUGGAGAAGAUGAGUGGGAGUGAGAAGAGGAUAACAGAAUCAGAUAAAAACCUGUCAUGUUACUAAGAGCAGGAGAUGAGGCAGCCUGGACCAAGAUGGUGGCAGAGAGAAGAAAAUUGCUUGAGAGAAUUGAUUAAACUACUUGGUUAGCACAGAUAGAGCUGAAUCAAAAAUUAGGAUGGUAAGCUAAGUAAUUUUACACACAAAAAGGCAGAGUUGCAUUCAUAAUUAGUCUCUCCUUCAGACUGAAUAUUACAGACAAAAUAUAGCCAUUGGUGUUGCAAUCACUUCCUUUGGGUUUGUAUCCAAGGUUAAGAAUGUCAGCAUCCAAAGACCCAAAUUCUUAAUGUUUUUAGUUGAUAAAGUUUAUUCAAGGUAGACAGCCUGUGUUGAAUAACUUAGUCUUCCACAAAUUUCAAGAAAAAUCCAUUGUCCCUCUUCUCCGCCACAGACACACUUUAGUUGAACAUUAAGCAUAUUUAUUAAAGAAACAUUCUCCUUGUGCUUUUUCUCCCAAGAUGGAUGGUGUUCUUACUUAGAGUUAUAAGUGUCAGAAUAAAAAUGCCCAUGAGGUUGAAUUGUAUGAUGUUAUAGUAAAGUGAGAUAAACAUUCUCAGAAACAUGAUUGUGACUUAAAAAAAAAAAAAACCAACAAACCACUUUCUGUAGAGGAAUUAUGCUUUGGGGACAGAAACUUUCCUUUAUAAUUUUUACAGCUGCACGCAGAUAAAGUGUAUUAAAAAGGCACAACACAUCAAUUAUGAAAACAUGGCUACCCUUUAAGAGAACACAGACUUUUUCCAGAUCCAUCUUAAAUCUCAGGAAUUCUAGAUCGAGACAGGCAUGAAUGCUCCUGUUGCUGAAAUCACUCUGAUUUCCUUCUUGUUAAACACUUCACUCAGCAACAUUAUAGAUUAGCACCAAAAAAGUUGUUUGUAGGUGAAAAACUGUUCAGAAAAGGACACCUUAUUAGGCAGGCUGUCGAUUUACAAAUAAAAGCCGAUUCUGGCUCUCCAAAAAAAAAAAAAAAA
This 1383-nucleotide long non-coding RNA is filed under the name Homo sapiens (human). RNAcentral's name for it is "long independently transcribed non-coding RNA 690 (LINC00690)". Lineage: Eukaryota; Metazoa; Chordata; Mammalia; Primates; Hominidae. The record is from RNAcentral.